Molecule: ribosomal RNA, 487 nt
Filed under: uncultured bacterium
Lineage: Bacteria
Description: bacterial SSU rRNA
Rfam family: Bacterial small subunit ribosomal RNA
Source: RNAcentral
CUACGUGCCAGCAGCCGCGGUAAUACGUAGGGUGCGAGCGUUAAUCGGAAUUACUGGGCGUAAAGCGAGCGCAGACGGUUACUUAAGCAGGAUGUGAAAUCCCCGGGCUCAACCUGGGAACUGCGUUCUGAACUGGGUGACUAGAGUGUGUCAGAGGGAGGUAGAAUUCCACGUGUAGCAGUGAAAUGCGUAGAGAUGUGGAGGAAUACCGAUGGCGAAGGCAGCCUCCUGGGAUAACACUGACGUUCAUGCUCGAAAGCGUGGGUAGCAAACAGGAUUAGAUACCCUGGUAGUCCACGCCCUAAACGAUGUCAAUUAGCUGUUGGGCAACUUGAUUGCUUAGUAGCGUAGCUAACGCGUGAAAUUGACCGCCUGGGGAGUACGGCCGCAAGGUUGAAACUCAAAGGAAUUGACGGGGGCCCGCACAAGCGGUGGAGUAUGUGGUUUAAUUCGACGCAACGCGAAGAACCUUACCAAGCCUUGACAU